AUUGAACGCUGGCGGCAGGCCUAACACAUGCAAGUCGAGCGGAUGAAGGGAGCUUGCUCCUGGAUUCAGCGGCGGACGGGUGAGUAAUGCCUAGGAAUCUGCCUGGUAGUGGGGGAUAACGUCCGGAAACGGGCGCUAAUACCGCAUACGUCCUGAGGGAGAAAGUGGGGGAUCUUCGGACCUCACGCUAUCAGAUGAGCCUAGGUCGGAUUAGCUAGUUGGUGGGGUAAAGGCCUACCAAGGCGACGAUCCGUAACUGGUCUGAGAGGAUGAUUAGUCACACUGGAACUGAGACACGGUCCACACUCCUACGGGAGGCAGAAGUGGGGAAUAUUGGACAAUGGGCGAAAGCCUGCUCCAGCCAUGCCGCGUGUGUGAAGAAGGUCUUCGGAUUGUAAAGCACUUUAAGUUGGGAGGAAGGGCAGUAAGUUAAUACCUUGCUGUUUUGACGUUACCAACAGAAUAAGCACCGGCUAACUUCGUG
RNAcentral lists this ribosomal RNA (484 nucleotides) under uncultured bacterium. RNAcentral's name for it is "partial 16S ribosomal RNA". It matches the Rfam family "Bacterial small subunit ribosomal RNA", at positions 30 to 507 of the family's 1533-position model. The record is from RNAcentral.